UACGGGGGGGGCAAGCGUUGUUCGGAAUUACUGGGCGUAAAGGGCUCGUAGGUGGCCAACUAAGUCAGACGUGAAAUCCCUCGGCUUAACCGGGGGAACUGCGUCUGAUACUGGAUGGCUUGAGUUUGGGAGAGGGACGCGGAAUUCCAGGUGUAGCGGUGAAAUGCGUAGAUAUCUGGAGGAACACCGGUGGCGAAGGCGGCGUCCUGGACCAACACUGACACUGAGGAGCGAAAGCCAGGGGAGACAAACGGGG
This 256-nucleotide ribosomal RNA is filed under the name uncultured bacterium. RNAcentral's name for it is "partial 16S ribosomal RNA". It matches the Rfam family "Bacterial small subunit ribosomal RNA", at positions 524 to 777 of the family's 1533-position model. The record is from RNAcentral.